UCCCUGGCAGUCCAGUGGUUAGGACUCUGUGCUCUUACUGAAGAGGGCCCAGGUUCGAUCCCUGGUUGGGGAA
Molecule: non-coding RNA, 73 nt
Organism: Balaenoptera ricei (Rice's whale)
Lineage: Eukaryota; Metazoa; Chordata; Mammalia; Artiodactyla; Balaenopteridae
Source: the annotation of a RefSeq genome assembly